Phyllostomus discolor (pale spear-nosed bat) is the source of this 1589-nucleotide long non-coding RNA. RefSeq lists it as uncharacterized. Lineage: Eukaryota; Metazoa; Chordata; Mammalia; Chiroptera; Phyllostomidae. The transcript has 4 exons. The record is from RefSeq and is a predicted model, not a curated record.
GCUCAAUCCACUGAGCCACACCAGCCAGGGCACCACUGGGUGACUUUUACUAACUCAGUUUUAUUGACUUUCUGAAUGAGAACACUACAGAGGACUCCUAGAAAGGUGGGUAGUAAUGAAUGCUCUUAGAUUAUUUUAUCACUAAGAUUCCCAGAAUGCCUCUAACUGUAUACAGAUACAUGAGAUUUAAUUUAGGUUUAUGAGCAUUGUAGGAUGAUUUCUAAAAUAUUUGUUUUAGCAUUAGGGCUUAGGUUAUCUAUUGAGGAAAUUCUCAUUUAUAAUAAUAAUUCAUCCUUCAGAUAAGUCAAUUAGAAAUCACUGAAGUUUCCACCAUUGAAAACUUCUGGUCACUUGAGCAUAUCUUAAUAUUUCAAAGUUGACUUAAUUUCUUGUUUUUUUGACCCAAUUCUAAUUUUAACUCUUGCAGUUCAACCUACAGAGCUAGUUGGUGGGAAACAUUUAGUACUGAUGUUCUGGCCAGUUUGUUUUCCCAUCUGAAAGUUCCAAUGAGUCCUUCCACUUGUCAGACAUUUGUUGAGUCUCUGCCAUGUGCCAGCCCCUGUGCUAAAGGCUGGGGUGCCCUGGAAAUGCAGAGAUGGACGACAAUCUCUUCUCACCGGAGCUCCCAGUCAAAGUGCCAGAGAAGGUCAAGGAUGGUGUUUCUGAGUUUUCUCCACUUGCAGCGCUCCUGAAACUAGGGAAGACUCCGUGAUUCAGAGCACAGAGGGGUGUCAGCUUCCAGUUGGUCUUUGAGGAAACAAAACAACAAGGUUUUGCACACAAGGUGGUGCUGCUGCUCUGCAGAUGGGCUGUGAUCUCUUUGGAGAGCUUCUCAGAGAUGAGGAGCGGCCACAGGCAGAGUAACAAGCCUUAGGAAAGAAUCCUGGUGCCAGCACAAGCUCAUCCAUUACCACUGUCAGAACACCAACACAUUGGGUUGUCUCUGCUGGGGGUGGUGAGCCGAGCUGCUUCUGGUACUAAGGACAGCAUUUAGCAUUUAAAUUCGAAAAUAUGUCAAAUAUGUAAGUGACAUCUAUUAAAAAACAAUCUUAAGGUCAAGACUAACAUAAGGGAGCAAGGAGGAGAGAGAAGGUAAAGAUUGUCUUGGAAUGGAAAUCCUCUAUCAUCCUACAACACACCAAAAUAUUAGGAAUUAUAUUUUACAGGGUUCAGAGGACAUAACUAGAAUUUUUGAAACAUAAGUGGUAACCCUUACCUUACUGUUUAGGAAAAUAGUGUGUGAGAAGAUAAUUUUCCUGUUAUGAACCCAAACCCACAUGAUUUUUUUAAAAUCCUAUGCCCCAAGGGAGAAUCAUCCCAAACAACCUGACAAGUAGGUAAAAGCAGGUAACCUGAGCUGGGAGGAUUUAAGUGAACGUUGGGUCCAGCCUACAUUAGUUAUCCUCUGUGGUUCAAAUGAGCUUAGAGCUAGCAGCACUACUCCACUAAUUUGGAACAGACAGGCUUCAAGGAAGAUCCAUUCAUUCAUUCAGUUUAAAAAUAUUUGAGCACUGCCCUGGCUGGUGUGGCUCAGUGGGCUGACUGCAGGCCUGCCAGUCAGCGGGUGAUUCCGAGUCAGGGCACACGCC